RNAcentral lists this ribosomal RNA (484 nucleotides) under uncultured bacterium. RNAcentral describes it as "partial 16S ribosomal RNA". It matches the Rfam family "Bacterial small subunit ribosomal RNA", at positions 30 to 507 of the family's 1533-position model. The record is from RNAcentral.
AUUGAACGCUGGCGGCAGGCCUAACACAUGCAAGUCGAGCGGAUGAAGGGAGCUUGCUCCUGGAUUCAGCGGCGGACGGGUGAGUAAUGCCUAGGAAUCUGCCUGGUAGUGGGGGAUAACGUCCGGAAACGGGCGCUAAUACCGCAUACGUCCUGCGGGAGAAAGUGGGGGAUCUUCGGACCUCACGCUAUCAGAUGAGCCUAGGUCGGAUUAGCUAGUUGGUGGGGUAAAGGCCUACCAAGGCGACGAUCCGUAACUGGUCUGAGAGGAUGAUCAGUCACACUGGAACUGAGACACGGUCCAGACUCCUACGGGAGGCAGCAGUGGGGAAUAUUGGACAGUGGGCGAAAGCCUGAUCCAGCCAGGCCGCGUGUGUGAAGAAGGUCUUCGGAUUGUAAAGCACUUUAAGUUGGGAGGAAGGGCAGUAAGUUAAUACCUUGCUGGUUUGACGUUACCAACAGAAUAAGCACCGGCUAACUACGUG